This 346-nucleotide unclassified non-coding RNA is filed under the name soil metagenome. Its description in RNAcentral is "partial contains 5.8S ribosomal RNA, internal transcribed spacer 2, and large subunit ribosomal RNA". The stretch from base 1 to 120 matches the Rfam family "5.8S ribosomal RNA", at positions 35 to 154 of the family's 154-position model. The record is from RNAcentral.
GAUGAAGAACGUAGCGAAAUGCGAUACGUAAUGUGAAUUGCAGAAUUCAGUGAAUCAUCGAGUCUUUGAACGCACAUUGCGCCCCCUGGUAUUCCGGGGGGCAUGCCUGUCCGAGCGUCAUUGCUGCCCUCAAGCCCGGCUUGUGUGUUGGGUCUCGUCCCCCUUCCCGGGGGGACGGGCCCGAAAGGCAGCGGCGGCACCGCGUCCGGUCCUCGAGCGUAUGGGGCUUUGUCACCCGCUCUGUAGGCCCGGCCGGCGCUUGACGAUCAACCAAAACUUUUUUCCAGGUUGACCUCGGAUCAGGUAGGGAUACCCGCUGAACUUAAGCAUAUCAAUAAGCGGAGGA